GACGAACGCUGGCGGCGUGCUUAACACAUGCAAGUCGAACGGAAAGGCCCUGCUUUUGUGGGGUGCUCGAGUGGCGAACGGGUGAGUAACACGUGAGUAACCUGCCCUUGACUUUGGGAUAACUUCAGGAAACUGGGGCUAAUACCGGAUAGGAGCUCCUGCUGCAUGGUGGGGGUUGGAAAGUUUGGGCGGUUGGGGAUGGACUCGCGGCUUAUCAGCUUGUUGGUGGGGUAGUGGCUUACCAAGGCUUUGACGGGUAGCCGGCCUGAGAGGGUGACCGGCCACAUUGGGACUGAGAUACGGACCAGACUCCUACGGGAGGCAGCAGUGGGGAAUAUUGCACAAUGGGGGGAAGCCUGAUGAAGCAACGCCGCGUGCGGGAUGACGGCCUUCGGGUUGUAAACCGCUUUCGCCUGUGACGAAGCGUGAGUGACGGUAAUGGGUAAAGAAGCACCGGCUAACUACGUG
Molecule: ribosomal RNA, 468 nt
Filed under: uncultured bacterium
Lineage: Bacteria
Description: partial 16S ribosomal RNA
Rfam family: Bacterial small subunit ribosomal RNA
Source: RNAcentral